RNAcentral lists this ribosomal RNA (529 nucleotides) under Diaporthe rudis. Its description in RNAcentral is "eukaryotic LSU rRNA". It matches the Rfam family "Eukaryotic large subunit ribosomal RNA", at positions 87 to 640 of the family's 3401-position model. The record is from RNAcentral. Lineage: Eukaryota; Fungi; Ascomycota; Sordariomycetes; Diaporthales; Diaporthaceae.
CGGCGAGUGAAGCGGCACAGCUCAAAUUUGAAAUCUGGCCUUCGGCCCGAGUUGUAAUUUGCAGAGGAUGCUUCUGGCGCGGUGCCUUCCGAGUUCCCUGGAACGGGACGCCACAGAGGGUGAGAGCCCCGUAUGGUCGGACACCAAGCCUGUGUGAAGCUCCUUGACGAGUCGAGUAGUUUGGGAAUGCUGCUCUAAAUGGGAGGUAAAUCUCUUCUAAAGCUAAAUACCGGCCAGAGACCGAUAGCGCACAAGUAGAGUGAUCGAAAGAUGAAAAGCACCUUGAAAAGGGGGUUAAAUAGUACGUGAAAUUGUUGAAAGGGAAGCACUUAUGACCAGACUUGGGCCGGGCGGCUCAUCAGGGGUUCUCCCCUGUGCACUCCGCCCGGCACAGGCCAGCAUCGGUUCUCGUGGGGGGAUAAGACCGUCAGGAACGUAGCACCCUCCGGGGUGUGUUAUAGCCUGGCGGACGAUACCCCCGUGGGGACCGAGGUUCCGCGCUCCGCAAGGAUGCUGGCUAAUGGCAUCA